This 468-nucleotide ribosomal RNA is filed under the name uncultured bacterium. RNAcentral describes it as "partial 16S ribosomal RNA". It matches the Rfam family "Bacterial small subunit ribosomal RNA", at positions 28 to 507 of the family's 1533-position model. The record is from RNAcentral.
GACGAACGCUGGCGGCGUGCUUAACACAUGCAAGUCGAACGGAAAGGCCCUGCUUUUUUGGGGUUCUCGAGUGCCGAACGCGUGCGUGACACGUGAGUAACCUGCCCUUGACUUUGGGAUAACUUCAGGAAACUGGGGCUACUACCAGAUAGCAGCUCCUGCUGCAUGGUGGGGGUUGGAAAGUUGCGGCGGUUGGGGAUGGACUCGCGGCUUAUCAGCUUGUUGGUGGGGUAGUGGCUUACCAAGGGUUUGACGGGUAGCCGGCCUGGGAGGGGGACCGGGCACAUUGGGACUGAGAGACGGACCAGACUGCUACGGGGGGCAGUAGUGGGGAAUAUGGUACAGUGGGCGGAAGUGUGAUGCAGAGACGCUGGGGUUGUGAUGACGUUCUGUGGGGUGUGAACCGCUGCAGCCUGUGACGAAGCGGGAGUGACGGUAACGGGUAAAGAAGCACCGGCUAACUACGUG